UCUUUCAACCAUCCAUCAAGGUAAACUUGAUUGGAGUUAGGGGUGGAUUUUACUUGCUCAACUUGGCUAUCUUUCAACCAUCCAUCAAGAUAAACUUGAUUGGGAUUUGGGGUCGAUCUUGCCUUGUCAACUUGGCUAUCUUUCAACCAUCCAUCAAGGUAAACUUGAUUGGAGUUAGGGGUGGAUUUUCCUUGCUGAACUUGGCUAUCUUUCAACCAUCCAUCAAGAUAAGCUUGAUUGGAGUUUGGGGUCGAUUUUGCUUUCUCAAGCUGGGCAUCUUUCAGCCAGCCAUCAAGGUAAACUUGAUUGGAGUUAGGGGUGGAUUUUCCUUGCUGAACUUGGCUAUCUUUCAACCAUCCAUCAAGAUAAGCUUGAUUGGAGUUUGGGGUCGAUUUUGCUUUCUCAAGCUGGGCAUCUUUCAGCCAGCCAUCAAGGUAAACUUGAUUGGAGUUAGGGGUGGAUUUUUCUUUCUCAACAUGGCUAUCUUUCAACCAUCCAUCAAGAUAAACUCGAUUGGAGUUGUGGGUGGGUUUUGCUUUCUGGACCCGGCUAUCUUUUAACCAGCCAUCAAGGUAAGCCUGAUUGAGGUUGUGGAUAGUUUUUUCCUUUUGAUCUUUGGUGUCUUUCAACCACCCGUCAAGAUAAACUUGGUUGGAGUUUGGGUUGGAUAUUUCUUUCUCAACUUGGCUAUCUUUCAACCACCCGUCAAGGUAAACUUGGUUGGAGUUUGGGGUCGAUUUUGCUUUCUCAACUGGAUCUUUCAACCAUCCAUCAAGGUAAACUUGAUUAGAGUCAGAGGUGGAUUUUGCUUUCUCAACUUGGGUAUCUUUUAGCCAUCCAUCAAGGUAAACUUGAUUGGAGUUAGGAGUGGAUUUUGUUUUCUGAACUUGGGUAUCCUUUAACCAUCCAUCUAGGUAAACUUGAUUGGAGUUGUGGGUGGUCUUUUCC
This 948-nucleotide long non-coding RNA is filed under the name Medicago truncatula (barrel medic). Its description in RNAcentral is "long non-coding RNA (MTRU_LNC001328)". Lineage: Eukaryota; Viridiplantae; Streptophyta; Magnoliopsida; Fabales; Fabaceae. The record is from RNAcentral.